This is a non-coding RNA of Plesiomonas shigelloides 302-73, 81 nucleotides long. It matches the Rfam family "antisense RNA of dnaA mRNA". NCBI's taxonomy places the organism in Bacteria, Pseudomonadati, Pseudomonadota, Gammaproteobacteria, Enterobacterales, Enterobacteriaceae. The record is from Rfam.
UUUGGCGUUCGGCUUACGGGCAAUAAUGCCAUUCCCCACCGCGUGCAGCAGGUGCGUUUUACCCAGACCCGUACCGCCGUA